This is a long non-coding RNA of Maniola jurtina (meadow brown), 1780 nucleotides long. RefSeq lists it as uncharacterized. The transcript has 2 exons. Lineage: Eukaryota; Metazoa; Arthropoda; Insecta; Lepidoptera; Nymphalidae. The record is from RefSeq and is a predicted model, not a curated record.
AUGUAAGAGUAAAAUAAAACGAACAAAAUAACAAGAGUAUUUUAUAUUACAUCUUAACCUGCUAUUUAGUCUUCAAGAACUGAACAAUAAGUGAUUGAAAUAAUAAUAACUUUACAAAGGGCUUUUGCAGGCUUAAACAGAGUUCAGACGAUCAAUAAAUAUCGCGAAAGCCGUGGUCAUGUCAAAUUAUAUACUAGGCAUAGUGUGCACAAAACAAGUAGUUCAAUAUGAACACGAGGUGUAGGACGGCGCACUGUAUAACAAAAUAUCAGCCGGGCAAAUACACAAUAUUUAAUCUUUAGGCUAUAACCUACGCAAACUGCCAUAUUGCAACUUAAGAUUAGAGUAUUUGCUUUGUGCGCACUUAAAUGAUGGGACUAAAGCGCAACACCCAAUUACAGAGUGAAGUGGAGCGGAGGCGCAGCUUCUAUUUUAUAACUAAACUCAACUUUAUUUAUUUUGACAUUGGUGUAGUGAAAACAAAAAACGGACACUGAAAGAACGUACCGCGCCGCUUUGAGUUAUAUCCCCAAUGAAAAAGUACGAAAGACGCUGCACUUUAGCUCCACCCUACUCUCUAGAUGUGCAUUGCACAGCCUAAAGGUGCUGAAAAGCCUGAGCAUUCACUUGUAACUGAACAAGAGCUUUUGCUGAUUUUUCGUCAUUCCUGUUGUUUUUAUAUGAGCUAUCAUAAUCAUAAUUUAUUCAUUGCAAAUACACAAUAUACAUUAUGUACACUAUUUUACCUGUCAUGUAACAACAUUAGCUAAAACGCUCAUUACAAGGAAAUGCUCAAGUUGAUUUGAGUGAGAGCAACGUUACGACGCUAUUAACGCUGUGCGUAUUGCCAAUAUUGAUACCAGUUUUAUCAGGAUACUAUAUAGCGAUAUUUAUUGACUGUCUGAAUCUUGAUAUGACCAGAAACCCAAACUUACAUUAAAAACUAACAAAAAAGUUAUUAUUUUCUUCUCAGUUAAACAAAAUUAAUGUCACCAAAAACAAAAUGUCCACUGGGGCAUGUUUCGUCAUUCACCUACAUAUUAUAUCAAACAUUUCUGAACUACAGGAAUGUCAACUUGUAUAAUUAAAUGUCCAAGAAGACUAAACUUACUUCAAUAACCUAAUAUUGAAUAUUCUUACAGCUAACCCGAUAAGUUAUAUCAAAAAGACUAAAGGAAAAAAGUAAAAGGUUGCAACUGAUAACUUAUGUAGUGCAAAAUGUUGUAGUCCUGUAAUGCUAGAUGUGUUGAAAAAAAAAAAUUCACCAAGGUACAGUUUGAUACAGUUUGGCUAAAUUGAGCGCCCACACAGCACCUUGAGUGUAUCUAAGUACUAAGUACCUUACUUAGUUCUUAGAUACACUAAGUUAGUUAGUAGAUAGUUACUUACUAAGUAGAACUAAGUAAGGUACACAUACUUGAUAUUGUAAUCGGUUAAAAAAAACAGGUGAAGACCAGACCCAAAUAUCAGUUUUAAAUACUCAUAACUGUACUUAAAACAUCAGUUACCAAAAAAGUAACUACCUUAGUUAUUCCAUAAGAAUAUUCAUCCUUAACCAUAUAAACGACAAUUUAUUGCUAGAACAAAAUUAAAAGGCAAUUUGCUUUAAAACCCAACGAACAGGUUCUUUGGCCAUAAAAAAGAUCUCAAAAUAUAUUGUUUACAAAAUAAGUAAUCUAUAUUUCAUUUUAAAAUGGUAAAUACAAUUGCCUUGUAACUUAUUCUAUGGGCCAGACGUAAGGACUCGUGCACAUUUAGGGUGGUCGAACCACAUUAAAUU